Molecule: ribosomal RNA, 253 nt
Filed under: uncultured bacterium
Lineage: Bacteria
Description: partial 16S ribosomal RNA
Rfam family: Bacterial small subunit ribosomal RNA
Source: RNAcentral
UACAGAGACUGCAAGCGUUAUUCGGAUUCACUGGGCGUAAAGGGUGCGCAGGCGGCCAAGUGUGUGAGGCGUGAAAGCCCGGGGCUUAACCCCGGAAUUGCACCUCAAACUACAUGGCUAGAGCAUUGGAGAGGGUAGCAGAAUUCAUGGUGUAGCAGUGAAAUGCGUAGAUAUCAUGAGGAAUACCAGAGGCGAAGGCGGCUACCUGGACAAUUGCUGACGCUCAGGCACGAAAGCGUGGGGAGCGAACAGG